Molecule: ribosomal RNA, 330 nt
Filed under: Triticum aestivum (bread wheat)
Lineage: Eukaryota; Viridiplantae; Streptophyta; Magnoliopsida; Poales; Poaceae
Description: partial small subunit ribosomal RNA
Source: RNAcentral
UGUCACAAGUAUACGGUCAAAUUUCUUGAGUGUUUCUUCCAGCCACACACAUGCCUCAAGAUCUGGCCAUCUUUAUUUCUUUCUGUAAGCUUUAUCUUCAGUGCCCUGCAGUGUUCGGUCUUCCAGGCCUUCUUGUUGUCGCCGAUACUGGCGGGAGCAGAGCAUGGACGAACCUGGCGGGAGCAGAGCAUGGACCUGGGCACGGUUGCCGUGCAUCCGUCGCUAGGCGUGCGGAAUCUGCAGGCGGUCGUGGUGGACCGCGUCGGCGUCGCGCCGCAGCAGAUAUCGGCGUCGCUGGCCAAACCCCGCAGCCAGUGCCGCGUGCUUCUC